RNAcentral lists this long non-coding RNA (245 nucleotides) under Elaeis guineensis (African oil palm). RNAcentral's name for it is "long non-coding RNA (EGUI_LNC057397)". The record is from RNAcentral. Lineage: Eukaryota; Viridiplantae; Streptophyta; Magnoliopsida; Arecales; Arecaceae.
UCUGGCACAUCCUCUGUGACUUGAUUGAUCCAGUCUUAGUCUGAGUUGAUCUAGUAUCCUGAAUCUACUAUUCUUCUCCAGUCUUCAGUCCUGAUUCAGGUUCCUUGCUACUCUUGUGUCUCCAGGUAUCUAGAGCCUCAAUCAAGUCCCUCAAAAUUCUCGUCACCUGAAUCUCAAGUCCAUAGAGACCUAUACACCACCUUCACCCUAGGACUACUCCUAUCCUAGUCCUAAGAUCCAAACCC